GCGUGCUGAAUGAGAUAAGAUUUCUAGACAUCCCUGGAAUAUACCUGACAUUCUUCAGUGUGCGUGUCAUGUCAUCAUCAGUCUUGAUCUGAACUGAUCCUCACAUGGGUUAUCAUCUCUCAUCUGCACAACAUUCCCUUUCUGCACAGGCUCAUAUGAACUAAACCAAUUUCUGUUAGUGCAAAUAUGAAAUGAACAUGCGGAAUCAAGAAUCCAUUCAUCAUGACUUGCAACACAACCAGCAAAUACUACCAGACAAUCUCCA
Molecule: long non-coding RNA, 265 nt
Filed under: Sorghum bicolor (sorghum)
Lineage: Eukaryota; Viridiplantae; Streptophyta; Magnoliopsida; Poales; Poaceae
Description: long non-coding RNA (SBIC_LNC014493)
Source: RNAcentral